GCAGUAGCCGCGGGAAUACGUAGGGGGCUAGCGUUGUCCGGAAUCAUUGGGCGUAAAGCGCGUGUAGGCGGCUUGACAAGUCUGCUGUGAAAUCCCCGGGCUCAACCUGGGAAUGGCAGUGGAUACUGGCAAGCUAGAGUGUGUCAGAGGAUGGUGGAAUUCCCGGUGUAGCGGUGAAAUGCGUAGAGAUCGGGAGGAACAUCAGUGGCGAAGGCGGCCAUCUGGGACAACACUGACGCUGAGGCACGAAAGCGUGGGGAGCAAACAGGAUUAGAUACCCCAGUAGUCCCUGUCUCUUAUAC
RNAcentral lists this ribosomal RNA (302 nucleotides) under uncultured bacterium. RNAcentral's name for it is "partial 16S ribosomal RNA". It matches the Rfam family "Bacterial small subunit ribosomal RNA", at positions 508 to 807 of the family's 1533-position model. The record is from RNAcentral.